RNAcentral lists this small nuclear RNA (139 nucleotides) under Aotus nancymaae (Ma's night monkey). RNAcentral describes it as "U4 spliceosomal RNA (ENSANAG00000012129.1)". It matches the Rfam family "U4 spliceosomal RNA". Rfam says of the family: U4 small nuclear RNA (U4 snRNA) is a component of the major U2-dependent spliceosome. Lineage: Eukaryota; Metazoa; Chordata; Mammalia; Primates; Aotidae. The record is from Rfam by way of RNAcentral.
AGCUUUGCCAGUGGCAGUAUCGUAGCCAAUGAGGUUUAUCUGAGGCACGAUUAUUACUAAUUGAAAAUUUUUCCCAAUACUCCGCCGUGACGACUUCAGUAUAGUUGGCAUUGACAAUUUUUGACAGUCUCUAUGGAGA